AGGCACUUUUCAGGGAUGAGGCA
Molecule: non-coding RNA, 23 nt
Filed under: Arabidopsis thaliana (thale cress)
Lineage: Eukaryota; Viridiplantae; Streptophyta; Magnoliopsida; Brassicales; Brassicaceae
Source: RNAcentral